This is a long non-coding RNA of Cavia porcellus (domestic guinea pig), 2759 nucleotides long. RefSeq lists it as uncharacterized. The transcript has 3 exons. The record is from RefSeq and is a predicted model, not a curated record. Lineage: Eukaryota; Metazoa; Chordata; Mammalia; Rodentia; Caviidae.
CGGCUCCCCCACCGGAAAUGAACCGCCAGCCAACUCUAAACUAGACCCCCGAGUAGGAGGCGUCUGCCCCCUCCACCGGCUGGUUUUAAACUCACUGUGUAGCUCAGGUUGGCCUUGAACUCAUGGUGAUCCUCCUGCCUCAAUCUCCCAAGUGCUGGGAUCACAGAAUACAUACUGCUUCAACCAGCGUGUAGUGUGAGCGGUGUCUGUAAAGCCUGGAGAAAGACGUGAGCUCAUGCAUGUGGAAGGAAUCUGAAACCCGGAGGGACAGCAUGAGAAGGCAAUCCCCCGAAAUCACAGGAUUCUUGAGGCAGCUCCUCCGCAGGAUUUGGAAUGGGAGGUUAGAGGCGGGCGCCUCUUUCCGCUGUGUGUGGAGGUGGUGAUGCGUCCUGCGCACGUCUCCUCGUUGUGUCUCUGUUAAGCUUGUUCCUGUUGGCCCAGGAAAGCUCCUUGCAGCCCACUAGCCAACAAUGACGGCUGACACCAGGGCGGCUCAGAUGCACUGCCCACGUUCUUCUCACCAAACAAGGCAAGGUGCCACUCAAAAAGGGGCCAUAUCUUUAUAACUUGCACAAAAGGACUCAAUGGGGCAAUGGUAGCCCUGCUGCCACUGACUGCAUCAGCACAGUGGGGACCCUACGCCUCACAUGCCUGUCUUGUGUGACACUCCCUCAUUCCGCUUCCUCUGGAGGUCUCUACAAUUCUCUGCUGGGUUUCAUGAUUUGUUCCUGCAUAAUAACCUCACCCCUAUAAUUUGCAAAGCUGCCUCUCUUGAAAUGGAGUUAGGACUUCUUUUUGUACUGAAGAAUAGUUGUAUUUCUUUGAUCCUUGUGCUUUCAAAUCACACCCUCUUAGGCUGGCUGGGGAUAAUGAGCAAGUGUUUUGAAGAGUCAGGUACCUAUAAAUGGCCUCUCCCUGUUUCACACAAAGACAAAGGUCCUGCCAGAGCUUUGAAACUAAGCCCUUAGAGUCCUUCAGGCUGCACUUGUGCCUGUUAUGUAAAAAGGGAAAGAAAGGGGCAAAGAGUGUGGUUUUCUUUUUCUAGUUACAAUUGCUUGCAUUUUCUGAAUUUUCUCAGAUGAGUACACAGAGGCUCAGGGAGGUUAUAUCAUUUUGCCAGAGAUUACACAGCUAGCAAACUGGCUGGAAGCUGCCCCCAGAACCUCAGAUUGCUACUGUACAGCUCUUCUGCCAUCGCUGAGCUGUCUCUGAAAAGGGCAGACUGGUUGCUAGGCCUGGAGUAGGAAAAGGCCUUUCCAUAAGUAGAGACCCAUGUUACAAUCCCUCAGCAGAAGAAACAACAGCCAGCAGCUGCAGCAACAGUAUAAGAGCUAGACAUCUCCAUAGUGAAGAGAGCUAAAGUACUACCUAAGAAUCGGCCUCUUUUGUCUGCUCACUUCCUCCCCCAGGUUGGCAACCCUACUGGAUCUCGUACUUUAUGACUCUGCCCCUUUUGGUAAUAACUGAUUGGGCUACCAGUGGUCCCUUGAUUCUAACUGGACAGCUCCUUGCCUCUGUUCCUGAUUGGAGAACAGGGCUCCUCCAACUUAGCCUGCCUAACUGGGUUCUCAUGCCUGCGUAAUUGAGGGAGAGGAAGAAAGCUUAGCAAUAAUAAUAAAAGAUUUUGAGAAGUAAAAGCCCUGUAGUCAAAAAUAUAUCUCCGUGGCUAGACGUGGUGGUGCAUGCCUGUAAUCCCAGAAUUUGGGAGGCUGAGGCAGGAGGAUUGCUGCAAGUUCAAGAUCAACCUGGGCUACAUAGUGAGUUCAGUACCAGCCUAAACUCCCUAGAGAGACCAUGUCUCAUAUAUAUAUACUAAUAUUUUGGAAACCAGAAAGUAUAGAAAUCCUAAGGAACUGCCACAAUGAUCCUAUAUGCCAGAGGCACUAAAGUAGGUGAUUCCAGGGAAGAUUCCUGGGGAUUAUAUCCCAAACACCUUGAAGUGCUUUCUGCUGAAGUCCUAGUCCUGUUCACUACUGACAUAAAAAUAGCUUCUCAUUUCUUUCUGCUCUGCAAAUCUCACACGAGCAUCUCUCAUUGCCAGAACACAGCUCGCAUCUUGUCAUGAGGAAAUGUAGUUCUGAGGUUUCCAGUCCUCAUAAUAUAGGUGAAAAUAUAGAAGGAAGUGAAAAUGUUUCCAGAAUACCAACAAUAUGGUGUAAUGUGCAUUUUGCAUAGUGAAACUUGUAUGUACUUAUCUAUUCAUGUUUAACUUUCAAAUAACAAUAUUAAUGACAGUUUAAUUCUUCUACCUAAUGUGACAUAACUAUCCUUCAUAUAAAUGAAGGUGCUGUUAUGGUCUGAACUGUGUUCCCUCAAAGUUCAGCUGCUGAAUCCCUAACUCCCCAUAUCUUGAAAUGCAGACAGAUAUAUCUUGUUUAACAACUGUUUGAAUGCAUGACAGAGGCACAGUAUUUGGAGUUGCAACUUGCUGCUCAGACUUAAGACCCAUCUUUGUUUGUUUGUUUUUUGUCUUUUUCCUUUUUAUUGGUACCAGGGAUCGAACUCACGACUGCCUGCUUGCAAGGCAGGCGCUUAUGCUGCUGAGCUAAAUCCCCAGCCCCUAGGACCCAUCUUUGUUUAUUAGAGUCCUGAACAUCUUCUUUCUAGAAACUCAAUGCCUUUUUGAACAGGUCACCUUGUUUGCAUGGCAUUAUAAUUUUUGCUGAUUGUACUAUACAGUGGUGUAGUCUUAUGUUCUGUUAUACAUUACAGUUCUGUAUGUAAAAUUAUGCAAAUAAAAGCAAAGGCAUCCAGUUGGA